Molecule: long non-coding RNA, 1223 nt
Organism: Vicia villosa (hairy vetch)
Lineage: Eukaryota; Viridiplantae; Streptophyta; Magnoliopsida; Fabales; Fabaceae
Exons: 2
Source: RefSeq, a predicted model, not a curated record
GUUAAAAAGGAUUUAGGGUUCACCAAUUGUGACGCAUCAGCUUCCUUUGAGAAGCUUCACUCUCUUCUUCCACGAAACAACGCCGUUCCCCUUCAUUUUCCGAUCAACCCUUCCACAGCGCCACCGUGAGCGGUGAUUCGUCCUCCUCAAGCUCCCGUCUCUCUUCCUUUCGUUCUCGGAUUCACGACAAUGGUGAAGUGGUUGAUGAUGAAAGUUACGUGCUGGAUUGUUGUUCUUGUACGCAGAUUGUGACGAAGUUGUAGUAGAUGUCGUUGCGGAUUCGAUGCUGAAGCUUGAUGGCGGAGAUCGAUCUUUUGAGGGUGGUGAUUAUAUUGCAGGUCCUCCCCUGAUUGAAUUUGACACAGAGCGGUGAAUACGAUCGAAGGUGAAGUAGCUUCGAACGUUUCGAUACCAGGAGGAUGCGAGAUAAACGCAGAGCCAAGAUUGAUUAAGAUAUUUUUAGUUUCUCGCACUUCGAUUCACUUCCUCUUCUAUGAAUCCCGAAUUCUAUUCUUCUUCUUUUUCUGAUUUUUUCUUUGUAUGCAUUCUUGAGAUGUUGUUCUUGAUGAUGAUUUUUUUUUUAAUUUGCAGAUGAAGAUGAAGCGUGAGGAAGGUGAAGGUGAUGGAGAGUGAGAGAUUGAAGGUUUGUUGAAGUUGAACCAAUGGAGAGGAUUGGAGCUGAUUCUGUUAAGGUUAGAAAUUUCAGAGUUGGUGAAUGAAUGAAAGUGAUGAAGAUUGCCACGGUUCUGAAUCGAUGAAGGUUCUUGGAGAAUAUGAAUGGAGAUUGAAAGGAGAUGAAUGUGAAGUGGUGGAGAAUGAAGAUGGUGAAGAAUCAGGUGGUGUGUGAAGGUGAGAAGGGAUCGAGGGAUUGGUGAAAAAAAUGGUGGAGAAUGGUGAGUGAUGAAGAAUUCCUGUUAUAUAGAGUUUCUUCAGGAUUUCACUGUAUGAGGGGCAGAAGUGGAUUCGGCUCGACAUAUUUCCGUGGACAGCGUUAGAACAACAAUCUGAGUUGAAUCUCAAUGAUGAUGAAUGGCUCUUUUUAUUGCAACUUUUGUAAACAACUGGAUUUGAAUGAAUGAACCUUGUGUGGCUCCAUGUUUAUUUCAAUGUGUUUACUUGAAACAUCCUUAGAGAUUUUUGUAAAAUUGAAUUAAUCACGGCAUAUGCUUCCAAUUUACUUGUGUGAAUGAAGUCUGGCCCUGGGCAUUUGAAACAUGAUUAAA